Molecule: ribosomal RNA, 357 nt
Filed under: uncultured Ambispora
Lineage: Eukaryota; Fungi; Glomeromycota; Glomeromycetes; Archaeosporales; Ambisporaceae
Description: partial 28S ribosomal RNA
Source: RNAcentral
GAGAGUUAAACAGUACGUGAAAUUGUUGAAAGGGAAACGAUUGAAGCCAGUCAUGCCGGUGGGAAAUCAGCUCCCGGGGUAACCAGGGAAGUGCACUUUCUCGCAAGGCAGGUUAGCGUCAGUUUCGCCAGUCGUAAAAAGUCCAUCGGAAGGUAGCUCCAUUCGGAGUGUUAUAGCCAGCGGUCAAUGCGACGUGCGGGAUUGAGGAUUGCAGCGGGUACCCUUCGGGGCUAAGUGCCUGACCCUUGUUCGAGAUCGUCUCGGCAGCAGCGUGCUGGUGACGAGCACGAUUCGCGGACACGGGGUUUAGCGUCACGGUAAACUCGUUAAGGAUGCUGACGUAAUGGCUUCAAACGA